This is a long non-coding RNA of Caretta caretta (loggerhead turtle), 467 nucleotides long. RefSeq lists it as uncharacterized. The record is from RefSeq and is a predicted model, not a curated record. Lineage: Eukaryota; Metazoa; Chordata; Testudines; Cheloniidae.
GUAACGUGACACAAGUAUUCUCACCACCCACACCUCCAACUUCCACACCUGCCAUGGAAGCCACUUACCCGAGUGCAGAGGGGGCACCUCAACCCACCACCCCAACAGAGGGAGAACAGGUAUCACCUGACUUGAUGGAAUACAUUUUAAAAAGCCCAUGAUGCUGUACGGAAGACUCCAGUCAACAAAAUAGAAAACCCAGAGAAGGGAAACAACCUGCAAGACCCUGAAUAUAAAACAAGGAAGUUGGAGGAGAAAAAAAUUGUUCUGCGAAACAGAAACAAUGAAGACAACAAACUGAAAGGGACACAAGAAAAGAUAAGACAGCUGAGAAAAAGGAAAUAUGGAGCUGGGGACAAGGGGAAAGAACAAAUAUAAGAACUUAUACAAAAAUUCUUAAUACAAGGAGUAUGUAAAGAUGUAAAAAUAUGUAAUAACCAAGAAUUUAAUUAAAAAUGGGAAAUCUG